This 360-nucleotide unclassified non-coding RNA is filed under the name Hevea brasiliensis (rubber tree). The record is from RNAcentral. Lineage: Eukaryota; Viridiplantae; Streptophyta; Magnoliopsida; Malpighiales; Euphorbiaceae.
AUUUUUUUUAACUCUCUCUCUUGGCAUGUAAGUGAGCGUAUUUCCCUUAGCUAUGCUGUGUCACAUUAAUAUAGUAAAAAAAAAAUUUACUUUCCUUGUGCCGUUGAUAUUAAUUAUAAUUGAAAAUUUUGUGCAAAUGAAAUUGUUGCUUUUGGAAAUUUGCAACGUUCAUUGUAUGGUAUGAUGAUUUCAAAUGAUUGGAACUAUAUGUGUCUGAUCCAGUAUAUUAAGUUGAAAAUAUGUUUUUGUUUAACAAGUUUAACCAAUUGCAUCGUUAUAUUAUGAUUUUGGGAUAUUAUGACUUCGGAAUAACUAGGUUUCAUUUUUAUGGAAUUAUAAAUUGGUGAUAAUGGAUAGUGG